GAUCCUGGCUCAGGAUGAACGCUGGCGGCGUGCUUAACACGUGCAAGUCGAACGGAACUUAAUCUUCGGAGAUUCGUCAAAGAAGGUGAAAGUUUAGUGGCGGACGGGUGAGUAACGCGUGGGUAACCUGCCUCAUAGAGGGGGAUAACAGUUGGAAACGAUUGCUAAUACCGCAUAAGCCCACAGUACCGCAUGGUACAGAGGGAAAAGAAUCAUCGCUAUGAGAUGGACCCGCGUUUGAUUAGUUAGUUGGCGG
Molecule: ribosomal RNA, 256 nt
Filed under: uncultured bacterium
Lineage: Bacteria
Description: partial 16S ribosomal RNA
Rfam family: Bacterial small subunit ribosomal RNA
Source: RNAcentral